Molecule: ribosomal RNA, 271 nt
Filed under: uncultured archaeon
Lineage: Archaea
Description: partial 16S ribosomal RNA
Rfam family: Archaeal small subunit ribosomal RNA
Source: RNAcentral
CAGCGCCACGAGUGGUAACCACGUUUAUUGGGCCUAAAGCGUCCGUAGCCGGUUUGAUAAAUCUUUUGUGAAAUUGUACAGCUUAACUGUACAGCGUGCAAGAGACACUGUCAAACUUGAGACCGGGAGGAGUCAGAAGUAUUCCAGAGGGAGCGGUAAAAUGUUAUAAUCUCUGGAGGACUACCUGUGGCGAAGGCGUCUGACCAGAACGGAUCUGACGGUGAGGGACGAAAGCUAGGGGAGCGAACCGGAUUAGAUACCCGCGUAGUCC